Molecule: long non-coding RNA, 1976 nt
Filed under: Mytilus galloprovincialis (Mediterranean mussel)
Lineage: Eukaryota; Metazoa; Mollusca; Bivalvia; Mytilida; Mytilidae
Source: RNAcentral
CAUUAUUAUUACAAAAUUACGUUGACUGUUAAUGAUCCUAAAUCCAUUGGAUGUUGCAGGUGUACUUAUUGAUAUGUUAGUCUUAGAUACAUGAUUAUUUUAGAAGAUUUUGUUGGCUUAAAACUUGCUGUCAGUAACUGCGAUUACUCUCAGAUCUAUAAUUAGUGUCUUUUUGUUGUGGGAAUGUAUGAGUACACUGCCACGACGACUAUGUGUUCUUGGAAGAUGUAUUUCUAUUUGUAUCCAUCUGAUGAUUUAAGCCCUUUCAACGGAUUUCAUACAUUGCUGUUGCUCCACUGUUCCAUUUUAUGGAAAGGUAAGGCUCUCGACACCCUUAGAAACAAUUGUUAUUUUUCUUCUUUCUAUCCUUCGUCGAUUUAUGAAUUUAAUUGCAUUUCCUAUUCUUAUGUUGUAACCAUGUGUAUAAAACGAACUAAAUAAUUGAUUCGGAACUUCUUAUCCAAAGAAUACUCCUGACAAAUAAUAUAUAUUUCCGUCUUGUUAAACGUAUUUGUAGUGAUAAAGUUUUGAAUACCUAAGAGAGUAAACAUGGUAUGAAAACUACUUAUUGAAAGUGCCUAACCGCUUCUAAGAAAAGGAAACACUUAAUCAAUAAAUCUAAAUUAUUUAAAUAUUAAAGAAGUUUUCUAUAUCUAUGUCUCAAUACAAAACACAUCAGAGAGAUUAUAUCUUUUGUAUAACAGAGUUAAAUCAGACACUUUAUUGAAUAGUAUAAAUGUUACUACACACGCUCACAACACCAAUACGGACAUACAUAUAUCAAAGAUACAAAACCGUGAUUAAAAUGCAACACACACAGAAACAAACUAUAAUAUAACAAUGGCUAUUUUCCUGACUUGGUAGAGGAAAAAAAUAUGGUGGGUUGAACCUGGUUUUGUGGCAUGCCAAAUCUCCCGCUUUUGUGGCAAUAUUAAAUAUAACAUUAAAAAGUCAACAUUACAUGGCAGGACUACAAUACAAAUAAAUGGGAGAACAUAUAGGACAGAGAAACACACGAAUAAUAGCUAACGAAAAGAGGACCGGAAAACUGGAACAUUCAGUCGGUAGUCAUCUUUGACGAUUAUUCCAUGUGAAAGACUGCGAUAUUUUACAUCAUCGCUCCAAUGAAGAUUACGAAACAUAGCAUUACAACAUUACUGUGAAGGUAUAAACAAAACACUAUAGAAGGUAUGCAAAUAUAAAAUGAUAAUGUGAAAACACACACAAGAUCGGGAUCAAAUCGUUAUGAUAAAACAAACUGUAUCACGCAAACACGUCCUACAAUAAAGAAACGAAUAAAAUAUUUAAAGCGCGAUAAUUAGGAUAUAAAUAUUCGAUGAAAUGGUAUAGCAAGGUUAAUUUCAAAUACAAAACUCAAACCGAUGUUGCAUAACUUACGUUAAGAUACGUAAAUUCAAGAAAUUCGGAAGGUAAAAAUCCAAAAUAUAUGUUAAAUAAUUGCAAUGAGACAACAUAAGAGACCAUUGCCUCAGAAAUUGUAGGCCACCGUACGACCUUCAGCAAAACACAAAGCCCAUAUCGCAUAAUCAGCUAUAAAAUAGACCCGAAAUGACAAAAUGAAAAACAAUUCAUAUUAGAAAACUAACGGCCUAAUUUAUGUACAAGAAAAAUAAAUGAAAAUUAAAUCAGUUACACAGCAACAAACAACUAAAUUACAGGCUCCUGACUUUGGACAUUCACAUACAGAAUGUAUUUAGACAAGGUUAUAACAGUACAUCAUGAGAAAAAGUAUGCAAAUCAGUUGAAAAAGGCUUAACUCAUCAGAUUGCAUUGGUACAAACAAAAAUACAUCUAACAAAAACGAAAAGUGGAAGUGGCCAGCUACUUGUAUAUAUAUCCCAACAACAAAAAGACAAAAAGACACUAAGUACUGAUCUGACAGUACUGUGACAAAAAUGCAGUUUAGGCAUAAGACAAUAUUUAUAAUUUAUCGUUGAAUUGUUAUCUAUAAUAAA